This 72-nucleotide transfer RNA is filed under the name Cavia porcellus (domestic guinea pig). It matches the Rfam family "tRNA". From Rfam's summary of the family: Transfer RNA (tRNA) molecules are approximately 80 nucleotides in length. Their secondary structure includes four short double-helical elements and three loops (D, anti-codon, and T loops). Lineage: Eukaryota; Metazoa; Chordata; Mammalia; Rodentia; Caviidae. The record is from Rfam by way of RNAcentral.
GGGGGUACAGCUCAGUGGCACAGCGCCUGCCUGGCAAGUAUGGGGUUGUAAGUUCAAUUCCUGGUACCCCCC